AUCAUGCUUGUUGUGGAAUUUCAUGUUUCUUCAGAUGAGGGAUAACUUCUAACCUUUGAACCUCUUGAAAUUUGAAACCUGGAAAGCAGCAUCUCAAAUCAUGAACUUGAAACAAACCCGAGACAUUCUUAUGGAGCACCUGGAUGGGAAGGGAAGGAAACAAGAGAGACUGAAAGCCUCACUUAAUUGAAUUGCAAAGUUAAAUGUCCAUGACACAGGAACAGAGCAGCUUUAAGAUUGGAGAAGGAAUGCAAAAUUCAAAUUCUCACAGCUUCUUACUGAA
Molecule: long non-coding RNA, 283 nt
Filed under: Piliocolobus tephrosceles (Ugandan red Colobus)
Lineage: Eukaryota; Metazoa; Chordata; Mammalia; Primates; Cercopithecidae
Description: lncRNA (ENSPTEG00000004675.1)
Source: RNAcentral